CCUAGCAAGUCUUUUGGUGAGAAGAAUUAUAAUCCUUCUCCUAGCAGCACUUCAUGAACUGAAAUCAUUCUCUAGGAUGAUGAUGACAUGCCAGUUCUUGGUAUACGGACAUGAGUCCUGAGAUCCCACACGUGGAUACACAAAAGGACUGCAUAGAGUGCUGAAGAUUGGGAAGAUACCCUUGUGGGAAAGUUUCCUUGAUGUGCUGGGCUUUAUAUCCUUGAAGGAAUAGCAUGGUCUAAGUGGAAGUUGGUUAGCUUUGUCCUUUUUCCACAAGAUAGGACUGCAAAAUUACUGAAAUGUUGCAACUAUCAAUCAGUGUCCUCGUACCUGCUCAGCACUCAUGAUGCUGACAAUAAACCUGGGCUGUGUGGCAGAUGAGGCUGUCCAGUAUCAGAAAAAUAUGAGAAUAUAUGGAAUGCUGGUUUCUCCACUCACCCUUGGCUCUGUAAUUUCAUCAUCCAGCCAUGGAGGACUGUGCAGGCAAAAGGCCAAGGUGUCUGCAUAUUGAUGACAUCAGGGGUUUGACCUGGCAGUCUUCCAGUGCUCAAAUCACUGCUUCCACCUUGGCAGACGCAGAUUUAGAGAAUUUCUGAGAUGUCCUAGCACAGAGAGAAGAAGACCCAAAAGUCGCAGCUGGAAAGAAGAUCCUAGAGGGACAUCACCCCUGAAGGACAGUGAUCUCUGCUUUUCACCAGCUGUCAGCACUGCUGAUCCAUGUGGGCUAGGCAGGGCAAUGCUGCCUUCUUCAUGUAAAUCAGAAGAGCAAGGAAAGCUAAUUGCCAGGUAAGGUCAUUAAGUAUUUAAUUUAUUUAAUUAAUGAACCAAGAGGUAUCAUCUCCAAAUUUAGAGUGAUAAAGUCAGAAGCUUCAAAACCAGAAAGAAGUGUUUUGUAAUACCCAGAAGUGGGAAUUAAAAUAGAGAUUAAUCCACGUUGUAUCUUUGAAGCUUCGAUUCAUGCCCAUAACUGUGGUUCUGAAUUGCUUCUCAAGCUGGAAGACAUGUGGAUGGGAAAUCUUGCAAAAUAUCAGAUCUCAUAGUAUUUCUGCCUCUUAAAAUUAGCCAUGUUGAAGGAUUGGGCACUGUCAAGGCUUAGUUCUGUUUUAAAGUGGAGACUUAAAAUUAGCCUAACCAUGAAUUUGAAUUGGAUCUUCAUAUAGUACAUACUCCAGAUGCUACAAUAACACCUGCUAGUGCAGCUACAAAUAAAAAAAGUACCUAGUAUUACUUAAAAUGUGCA
This 1240-nucleotide long non-coding RNA is filed under the name Parus major (Great Tit). RNAcentral describes it as "lncRNA (ENSPMJG00000014589.1)". The record is from RNAcentral. Lineage: Eukaryota; Metazoa; Chordata; Aves; Passeriformes; Paridae.